GAUGAACGCUGGCGGCGUGCCUAAUACAUGCAAGUCGAGCGAACGGACGAGAAGCUUGCUUCUCUGAUGUUAGCGGCGGACGGGUGAGUAACACGUGGAUAACCUACCUAUAAGACUGGGAUAACUUCGGGAAACCGGAGCUAAUACCGGAUGAUAUUUUGAACCGCAUGGUUCAAAAGUGAAAGACGGUCUUGCUGUAACUUAUAGAUGGAUCCGCGCUGCAUUAGCUAGUUGGUAAGGUAACGGCUUACCAAGGCAACGAUGCAUAGCCGACCUGAGAGGGUGAUCGGCCACACUGGAACUGAGACACAGUCCAGACUCCUACGAGAGGCAGCAGUAGGGAAUCGUCCGCGAUGGACGAAAGCCUGACGGAGCAACGCCGCGUGAGUGAUGAAGGUCUUCGGAUCGUAAAACUCUGUUAUUAGGGAAGAACAUAUGUGUAAGUAACUGUGCACAUCUUGACGGUACCUAAUCAGAAAGCCACGGCUAACUACGUG
RNAcentral lists this ribosomal RNA (497 nucleotides) under uncultured bacterium. RNAcentral describes it as "partial 16S ribosomal RNA". It matches the Rfam family "Bacterial small subunit ribosomal RNA", at positions 28 to 507 of the family's 1533-position model. The record is from RNAcentral.